CAGCCCUUUGUCGCUAAG
Molecule: small nuclear RNA, 18 nt
Filed under: Arabidopsis thaliana (thale cress)
Lineage: Eukaryota; Viridiplantae; Streptophyta; Magnoliopsida; Brassicales; Brassicaceae
Description: snRNA_13495
Source: RNAcentral